GGAAGCCCAGCUUGCUGGGUGGAUUAGUGGCGAACGGGUGAGUAACACGUGAGUAACCUGCCCUUAACUCUGGGAUAAGCCUGGGAAACUGGGUCUAAUACCGGAUAGGAGCGCCUACCGCAUGGUGGGUGUUGGAAAGAUUUAUCGGUUUUGGAUGGACUCGCGGCCUAUCAGCUUGUUGGUGAGGUAAUGGCUCACCAAGGCGACGACGGGUAGCCGGCCUGAGAGGGUGACCGGCCACACUGGGACUGAGACACGGCCCAGACUCCUACGGGAGGCAGCAGUGGGGAAUAUUGCACAAUGGGCGCAAGCCUGAUGCAGCGACGCCGCGUGAGGGAUGACGGCCUUCGGGUUGUAAACCUCUUUCAGUAGGGAAGAAGCGAAAGUGACGGUACCUGCAGAAGAAGCACCGGCUAACUACGUGCCAGCAGCCGCGGUAAUACGUAGGGUGCGAGCGUUAUCCGGAAUUAUUGGGCGUAAAGAGCUCGUAGGCGGUUUGUCGCGUCUGUCGUGAAAGUCCGGGGCUUAACCCCGGAUCUGCGGUGGGUACGGGCAGACUAGAGUGCAGUAGGGGAGACUGGAAUUCCUGGUGUAGCGGUGGAAUGCGCAGAUAUCAGGAGGAACACCGAUGGCGAAGGCAGGUCUCUGGGCUGUAACUGACGCUGAGGAGCGAAAGCAUGGGGAGCGAACAGGAUUAGAUACCCUGGUAGUCCAUGCCGUAAACGUUGGGCACUAGGUGUGGGGACCAUUCCACGGUUUCCGCGCCGCAGCUAACGCAUUAAGUGCCCCGCCUGGGGAGUACGGCCGCAAGGCUAAAACUCAAAGGAAUUGACGGGGGGCCCGCACAAGCGGCGGAGCAUGCGGAUUAAUUCGAUGCAACGCGAAGAACCUUACCAAGGCUUGACAUGUUCUCGAUCGCCGUGAAGAUACGGUUUCCCCUUUGGGGCGGGUUCACAGGUGGUGCAUGGUUGUCGUCAGCUCGUGUCGUGAGAUGUUGGGUUAAGUCCCGCAACGAGCGCAACCCUCGUUCCAUGUUGCCAGCACGUAGUGGUGGGGACUCAUGGGAGACUGCCGGGGUCAACUCGGAGGAAGGUGAGGACGACGUCAAAUCAUCAUGCCCCUUAUGUCUUGGGCUUCACGCAUGCUACAAUGGCCGGUACAAUGGGUUGCGAUACUGUGAGGUGGAGCUAAUCCCAAAAAGCCGGUCUCAGUUCGGAUUGGGGUCUGCAACUCGACCCCCAUGAAGUCGGAGUCGCCUAGUAAUCG
This is a ribosomal RNA of 1266 nucleotides. It matches the Rfam family "Bacterial small subunit ribosomal RNA", at positions 69 to 1344 of the family's 1533-position model.